This 69-nucleotide transfer RNA is filed under the name Ictidomys tridecemlineatus (thirteen-lined ground squirrel). RNAcentral's name for it is "Spermophilus tridecemlineatus (thirteen-lined ground squirrel) tRNA". It matches the Rfam family "tRNA". From Rfam's summary of the family: Transfer RNA (tRNA) molecules are approximately 80 nucleotides in length. Lineage: Eukaryota; Metazoa; Chordata; Mammalia; Rodentia; Sciuridae. The record is from Rfam by way of RNAcentral.
GGAGUUGUGGCUCAGCAGUAGAGUGCUCACCUGGCAGGUGUGAGGUGCUGAGUUCCAUCCUCAGCACCA